RNAcentral lists this unclassified non-coding RNA (333 nucleotides) under soil metagenome. Its description in RNAcentral is "partial contains 5.8S ribosomal RNA, internal transcribed spacer 2, and large subunit ribosomal RNA". The stretch from base 1 to 120 matches the Rfam family "5.8S ribosomal RNA", at positions 35 to 154 of the family's 154-position model. The record is from RNAcentral.
GAUGAAGAACGUAGCGAAAUGCGAUACGUAAUGUGAAUUGCAGAAUUCAGUGAAUCAUCGAAUCUUUGAACGCACAUUGCGCCUGCCAGCACUCUGGCAGGCAUGCCUGUUCGAGCAUCAUUUCAACCAUCAAGCCCUAGGCUUGCGUUGGAGCCCUGCGGCUGCCGCAGGCCCCUAAAAGCAGUGGCGGGCUCGCUAUCACACCGAGUGCAGUAGAUUACUCUUCGCUCAGGGCGUGUGGCGGGUUCCAGCCGUGAAACCCCCUACUUCUCAAGGUUGACCUCGGAUCAGGUAGGAAUACCCGCUGAACUUAAGCAUAUCAAUAAGCGGGGA